Molecule: small nucleolar RNA, 106 nt
Organism: Callithrix jacchus (white-tufted-ear marmoset)
Lineage: Eukaryota; Metazoa; Chordata; Mammalia; Primates; Cebidae
Source: Ensembl
AUCCUUUCGUAGUUCAAGAGUACAUUGAUUGGGCGUUCACGUGCAUCUAUCUCAGAUGUGUCACCCUCAAACCUUUUUAGGAUGUUGGCACAUUACCCGUCUGACA